This 497-nucleotide ribosomal RNA is filed under the name uncultured bacterium. RNAcentral describes it as "partial 16S ribosomal RNA". It matches the Rfam family "Bacterial small subunit ribosomal RNA", at positions 28 to 507 of the family's 1533-position model. The record is from RNAcentral.
GACGAACGCUGGCGGCGUGCCUAAUACAUGCAAGUCGAACGCUGAAGAGAGGAGCUUGCUCUUCUUGGAUGAGUUGCGAACGGGUGAGUAACGCGUAGGUAACCUGCCUUGUAGCGGGGGAUAACUAUUGGAAACGAUAGCUAAUACCGCAUAACAAUGGAUGACACAUGUCAUUUAUUUGAAAGGGGCAAUUGCUCCACUACAAGAUGGACCUGCGUUGUAUUAGCUAGUAGGUGAGGUAAUGGCUCACCUAGGCGACGAUACAUAGCCGACCUGAGAGGGUGAUCGGCCACACUGGGACUGGGACACGGCCCAGACUCCUACGGGAGGCAGCAGUAGGGAAUCUUCGGCAAUGGGGGCAACCCUGACCGAGCAACGCCGCGUGAGUGAAGAAGGUUUUCGGAUCGUAAAGCUCUGUUGUAAGUCAAGAACGGGUGUGAGAGUGGAAAGUUCACACUGUGACGGUAGCUUACCAGAAAGAGACGGCUAACUACGUG